GUCUACGUAUAAGCAUUUAUACUGUGAAACUGCGAAUGGCUCAUUAAAUCAGUUAUUGUUUAUUUGAUGGUACCUUUACUACUUGGAUAACCGUGGUAAUUCUAGAGCUAAUACAUGCUAAAAACCCCGACUCAAGAAGGGGUGUAUUUAUUAGAUUCAAACCAGUGUCCCUCGGGACUUUUUGGUGACUCAUAAUAACUUAACGCAGCGCAUGGCCUUCGUGCCGGCGCGGGAUCAUUCAAAUACCUGCCCUAUCAAGUUUCGAUGUGAGGGUAGUGUCCUCACAUGCUUUUGACGGGUAACGGGGAAUUAGGGUUCGACUCCGGAGAGGGAGCCUGAGAAACGGCUACCACAUCCAAGGAAGGCAGCAGGCGCGCAAAUUACCCAAUCCCGAUACGGGGAGGUAGUGACAAGAAAUACCGAUUCAGGAUCUUAUUGGAUCUUGAGAUUGGAAUGAGUACAAUUCAAACCCAUUAACGAGGAACAACUAGAGGGCAAGUCUGGUGCCAGCAGCCGCGGUAAUUCCAGCUCUAGUAGCGUAUAUUAAAAUUGUUGCAGUUAAAACGCUCGUAGUUGAACUUUGGGCUUGGCUGGCUGGUCCGCCUCACCGCGAGCACUGGUCCGGCUGGGCCUUUCCUCUUGGGGAUCCACAUGCCCUUCACUUGGGUGUGUUGGGGAACCAGGACUUUUACUUUGAAAAAAUUAGGGUGUUCAAAGCAGGCAUUUGCUCGAAUACAUUAGCAUGGGAUAAUAGAAUAGGACGUGUGGUCUUAUUUUGUUGGUUUCUAGGACCGCCGUAAUGAUUGAUAGGGAUAGUUGGGGGCAUCGGUAUUCAAUUGUCAGAGGUGAAAUUCUUGGAUUUAUUGAAGACCAACUACUGCGAAAGCAUUUGCCAAAGAUCCGUCGUAGUCUUAACCGUAAACUAUGCCGACUAGGGAUCGGGUGGUGUUCCAUUU
RNAcentral lists this ribosomal RNA (956 nucleotides) under Hesperomyces virescens. RNAcentral's name for it is "SSU rRNA". It matches the Rfam family "Eukaryotic small subunit ribosomal RNA", at positions 57 to 1070 of the family's 1831-position model. The record is from RNAcentral. Lineage: Eukaryota; Fungi; Ascomycota; Laboulbeniomycetes; Laboulbeniales; Laboulbeniaceae.